This 320-nucleotide ribosomal RNA is filed under the name uncultured eukaryote. Its description in RNAcentral is "partial 18S ribosomal RNA". It matches the Rfam family "Eukaryotic small subunit ribosomal RNA", at positions 1470 to 1796 of the family's 1831-position model. The record is from RNAcentral.
CCCCUAGAUGUUCUGGGCCGCACGCGCGCUACACUGAACAGUUCAACAAGUCUUAACCUUGGCCGAUAGGUCUGGGUAAUCUUUGAACGCUGUUCGUGAUUGGGAUAGACCUUUGCAAUUAUGGGUCUUCAACGAGGAAUUCCUAGUAAACGCAAGUCAUCAGCUUGCAUUGAUUACGUCCCUGCCCUUUGUACACACCGCCCGUCGUACCUACCGAUUGAAUGGUCCGGUGAAAUCUCGGGACGGCGGCUCGGUCGCUUGCGUCCGACUGCUGAAACUUGAUUAAACCAUAUCAUUUAGAGGAAGGUGAAGUCGUAACA